RNA transcript from Prosopis cineraria, 2529 nucleotides. It is a transcript of the gene named tubulin-folding cofactor C, with no coding region annotated. NCBI's taxonomy places the organism in Eukaryota, Viridiplantae, Streptophyta, Magnoliopsida, Fabales, Fabaceae. The transcript is spliced from 3 exons. The record is from RefSeq and is a predicted model, not a curated record.
CAAACACAUACUAAAUCGUAUUCGUAGUGUGAAGUUGAGGAUCUUUUUUUCUAGGUCGACGAACCAACAUUACACACUCCGUCGGACCCCGUCCACGGUUGUCAGUCCUGCGUGGUUGUUCUCAGGCAUGUAGUGAAGAAGUCAGGAGGCCUCAAGAGAAAAUUGGAAAGAAGCAAUCAGGAGAGAACCAAAAACUGCCACACUUUCUGGUGCCCUUUGAGCGGGCACUCCCUGUCUCUUGUUUCUCCAGAGAUUCUUCUACUUUCCCAUAUAUUUGCAAGUUGCAAGCAAUGGAUGAGGAAGAAAAUCCCACAAAUAUCCCACAAGUUGAAGCCUUAGACCCAGAUCUUGAGAAGAAGCACUCAUUAAUGCUUGAACGCCUCUCAAACCGACACCAGAAUCGUUUGGAUAAUUCCCAUCGUUCUGAGUCUGAAUCGUCUUCAGUUGAAUCCACUUCAUCCUUCUUUUCACGCUUUUCUAAAAUGAAACGCUCUAUUGAGUCUCAGCUGGCUGAUUCUCAAACUGCUCCCACUGAUCCAGCUCAACUCAAGUCCUACUUUGAAAAGAUAUCUGCAUCUAUCUCUGAUCUGGAGAAACAUGUAGCUGAAAACUCAUAUUUCUUGCCAUCCUAUGAUGUUCGGUCCUCACUCAAAACUGUUUCAGAUUUGAAACAAAGCCUUGAGAGUUUGAAUUCCCAACUUAUCCCAAAAAAGAAAUUUGCAUUUAAGAACAAGGCAAACAAGAAAGAAUCAGGUGUUCCAGAAUUGAAAGAGCCUCCUCUUUCAAAGUGCACUAAUGCUUCACCAGAGAAAAUGAGACAUACUGUGUGGGAUUCACCAGGAUUUAGAAGCAAAGUGGGUCAGAUUUUGUUUGAAGAGUUUAGGGGAUCAGAAGUUGGAGAAUUCACAAUUUCAGACCUUGAUUCUUGUGAAGUUAGAUUAAUUGGUUGUAUAAGGGCGCUUUUUGUCCAUAGGCUGAAGAAUUGCCAGGUUUAUGUAGGGCCUGUAAUGGGUUCAGUUCUUAUUGAGGAAGUGGAGGGAUGCAUCUUUGUGAUGGCGUCACAUCAAAUUAGGAUUCAUAAUGCCAAAAGAAGUGAUUUUUACUUGAGAGUUAGGAGCCGACCCAUAAUUGAGGAUUCUAAUAGUGUGAGGUUUUCACCAUAUUGUUUGACUUAUGAAGGGAUUGAAGAAGAUCUUCGGGAUGCUAGUCUUGAUAAUGAGACUGGAAAUUGGGCAAAUGUGGAUGACUUCAAGUGGUUGCGUGCAACACAAUCUCCAAACUGGUCAAUAUUGCCAGAGAAUGAGAGGAUUAGGAUUGUUGAUAUAUCAACUGGGGAGAGUAAAAACAAGAAUACUUAAGUUAUAUACAUGUCUCAUAGCAUGCCAAAAGUGUUCAAGAUUGCGUCUUUUUGGUGAAGAGCUCAUUCAGUUUUCAUCAGGGAAAUGCUCCUUCAAGUUCUAAUGGGGUUGUUUGUUUAUAUUUGCCAAAUGAGAUUGGACCACAGGGUAGCUCAAAUACCUCAAAUUGAGGAUCUUGAAAAAAAGAAACUAGCAUCAGCGGUAAUAUUGGCCUAGUGCAGACACAAUACUCUGUUUUAUCUGUCUCUCUGCUUCUUUUUUUCCCGCUCUUUUGAUUUUGGCUAGGGGUGUUCGAUUAAGGGUCUAUUUUUUGCUUCUGUUAUAGCCAUCAGUGUUUGGACCGUCCAUACUCUUCAGAAAUGGUUAUAGACAUUAUCACAUUGACAUGUUUUGCCAAUUGAGUUGGUCAUCCUUUAUGAUUUUCACUGUGGCUGGUUGAAUUUUAUGAUUUUCAGCAAGCAGUAUGCUCAUGCGUACAUGGUCUGAAUUCUGCCAAAUAAGAAUGUGGGGUACUUGAAUCACGUGUAUUUUAAUUUUUUUUAUUUAAUGUUUGGACUGAUAGAUUUGCAUUUCAAAUCUCACAUUUCAAAUCCAUGUAUUUAAAAUUUUUUGCUUGGGUAGUUUAAAUAAUAAAGGUUAUUACUAUUAAGGUAGUGUUUCGAAAGUAUAUAUGGAGAUUUAAAAUAACAAUGAUUUAAAAAGGAUUUCAAAUUAUGAAGAAAUUAAGAUAAAAUUGUCCAAAUAGGAGAUUUGGCCCAAAUCUAAAGUCCAAUCCAAAUUCAUAUGUAUUCAAGUAUAUACUGGUACAGAAAGUAGCACCGGCAGGGCCUUUUAGACUCUGUUCCUUUCUCACAGAAUGGCAAAAUAUCAAGAGGUAAAAUGGAGUAAAUAGAAAUGAAUAAAUUAGUUACACGCACACACUUUCUCAAACUCCCACUCAUCUUGAUGUAAUAGCAGGAUAUCAUGUUAGUUAUACGUUGUAGUCCCUUUCCUCUUGAAUUGAGGGGCGAGCUACCAGCUUUUUGAACAUACAAUGUAAGAUAUGAAAGUGUUGCGUGUUACUGUUAGUUCUUGCAGUACUUUUCUGUUUUGUGAUCCUUUCAUUUUUAUUUUUAAAUCUUUUCAAUUCUGCCAAAUAUUUUGUUUUUGUGACACUAUCGUUAUUUUUACU